GGGAUUGCCUCAGUAACGGCGAGUGAAGCGGCAACAGCUCAAAUUUGAAAUCUGGCUCCUUCGGGGUCCGAAUUGUAAUUUGUAGAGAGUGCUUCGGGCGAGACCUCGGUCUAAGUCCAUUGGAACAUGGUGUCAUAGAGGGUGAGAAUCCCGUAUGCGACCGUGGCUCGAGCCCAUGUGAAGCCUCUUCGACGAGUCGAGUUGUUUGGGAAUGCAGCUCAAAAUGGGUGGUAAAUUUCAUCUAAAGCUAAAUACUGGCUGGAGACCGAUAGCGCACAAGUAGAGUGAUCGAAAGAUGAAAAGCACUUUGGAAAGAGAGUCAAACAGUACGUGAAAUUGUUGAAAGGGAAGCGCUUGCAACCAGACCUGCCCGUAGGCGAUCAGCCGCUGUUCUCAGCGGUGUACUCGCUCUGCGAUCAGGCCAGCAUCGGUUUCGGCGGUCGGAUAAAGACCUUGGGAAUGUAGCUUCCCUUCGGGGAAGUCUUAUAGCCCUCGGUGUAAUGCGGCCAGCCGGGACCGAGGACCGCGCUUCGGCUAGGAUGCUGGCGUAAUGGUUGU
RNAcentral lists this ribosomal RNA (558 nucleotides) under Xanthoparmelia cumberlandia. RNAcentral describes it as "eukaryotic LSU rRNA". It matches the Rfam family "Eukaryotic large subunit ribosomal RNA", at positions 71 to 641 of the family's 3401-position model. The record is from RNAcentral. Lineage: Eukaryota; Fungi; Ascomycota; Lecanoromycetes; Lecanorales; Parmeliaceae.